RNAcentral lists this long non-coding RNA (1142 nucleotides) under Oncorhynchus mykiss (rainbow trout). RNAcentral's name for it is "lncRNA (ENSOMYG00000062898.1)". Lineage: Eukaryota; Metazoa; Chordata; Actinopteri; Salmoniformes; Salmonidae. The record is from RNAcentral.
UUUAUUCCCUCCUCUUAUUGUUUAUUCCCUCCUCUUAUUGUUUAUUCCCUCCUCUUAUUGUUUAUUCCCUGCUCUUAUUGUUUAUUCCCUGCUCUUAUUGUUUAUUCUCUGCUCUUAUUGUUUAUUCCCUGUUCUUAUUGUUUAUUCCCUGUUCAUAUUGUUUAUUCCCUCCUCUUAUUGUUUAUUCCCUGUUCAUAUUACUUAUUCCCUCCUCUGAUUGUUUAUUCUCUGCUCUUAUUGUUUAUUCCCUGUUCUUAUUGUUUAUUCCCUGUUCAUAUUGUUUAUUCCCCCCUCUUAUUGUUUAUUCCCUCCUCUUAUUGUUUAUUCCCUGCUCUUAUUGUUUAUUCCCCCCUCUUAUUGUUUAUUCCCUCCUCUUAUUGUUUAUUCCCUGCUCUUAUUGUUUAUUCCCUGCUCUUAUUGUUUAUUCCCUGCUCUUAUUGUUUAUUCCCUGUUCUUAUUGUUUAUUCCCUGUUCAUAUUGUUUAUUUCCUCCUCUUAUUGUUUAUUCCCUCCUCUUACUGUUUAUUCCCUGCUCUUAUUGUUUAUUCCCUGCUCUUAUUGUUUAUUCCCUCCUCUUAUUGUUUAUUCCCUCCUCUUAUUGUUUAUUCCCUCCUCUUAUUGUUUAUUCCCUGCUCUUAUUGUUUAUUCCCUGUUCAUAUUGUUUAUUCCCUCCUCUUAUUGUUUAUUCCCUCCUCUUAUUGUUUAUUCCCUCCUCUUAUUGUUUAUUCCCCCUUCUUAUUGUUUAUUCCCUCCUCUUAUUGUUUAUUCCCUGUUCUUAUUGUUUAUUCCCUCCUCUUAUUGUUUAUUCCCUGUUCUUAUUGUUUAUUCCCUGUUCUUAUUGUUUAUUCCCUGUUCUUAUUGUUUAUUCCCUCCUCUUGUUGUUUAGUCCCUCCUCUUGUUGUUUAUUCCCUCCUCUUGUUGUUUAUUCCCUCCUCUUGUUGUUUAUUCCCUGCUCUUAUUGUUUAUUCCCUCCUCUUGUUGUUUAGUCCCUCCUCUUGUUGUUUAUUUCCUCCUCUUGUUGUUUAUUCCCUGCUCUUGUUGUUUAUUCCCUGUUCACAUUGUUUAUUCCCUGCUCUUACAUGGUGUGUUGAUAAACUCAAGCCAGCAGUAUUAACUAAAAAGCAGGCCCUAAUUUGCAUUUAG